UGGCCCCGCCCCUGGGGCGGAUUGAACCACCGCGACCUCUAGCGGGGAGCACAGGGCUGCACUUCCCGUCCCCCCCGGCUGGAGAGAUGAUGAAUCGUCAAGGAGCCCCAGCCAAAGGAGAAGUGGGAAGAAGUGAACCUGAGCAGCCUGGACAUCCGUCUAAGCAGAGCAGGUCGGUAGGGGCUGUGAAGACUCUUUUCUCCAUGCCCGGAUACUGGAAGGAAUUUACCAGCAUCCAGUUUCAGCAGAGUUGGGACAUGAUACCCUCCCGAUAUUACUACUUGCAGGGUGUUGGCCUGAUUGCAAGUUAGGAACCCAAAGUUUCCUCUUCAUUGGGCCUCUCUUGGGACUGGGAUUUCAGUGUGAAAUAUUCCUCUGUUCCAGCUGCCAUCUCAGCCCAGCAACUUGAGUGGAACUCUCUCUCCCUCUUGAUAACCACAAGGGACUUUCUGUUCCAUGUUCCAGAGCCAUGAUCAAGUUUGAGAACCCUCAGCUCCCUGCAGUUUUCAAAGCGGGAAUCACCAUCGUCCAGAGUGAGGAGGAUGAGCAGAGAAAUCUCACCAUGACUAUCUGCACUGAGGUGAGAUUCAUUAGUUGACAGGCACAAGUGGGCUUGUGGAGAGCAGCUCAGGCCAGUAGGCGAUGGGGCACCUCGUCAGCAGCCUUACAGCCAGUUAGCUCCUCUCCACAGAUGGAUCAUUGUGGGGAAUGGCAAAGAGAGG
This is a long non-coding RNA of Trachemys scripta elegans, 722 nucleotides long. RefSeq lists it as uncharacterized. The record is from RefSeq and is a predicted model, not a curated record. The transcript has 3 exons. Lineage: Eukaryota; Metazoa; Chordata; Testudines; Emydidae.